UACGAAGGGGGCUAGCGUUGCUCGGAAUCACUGGGCGUAAAGGGUGCGUAGGCGGGUCUUUAAGUCAGGGGUGAAAUCCUGGAGCUCAACUCCGGAACUGCCUUUGAUACUGGGGAUCUCGAGUCCGGGAGAGGUGAGUGGAAUUGCGAGUGUAGAGGUGAAAUUCGUAGAUAUUCGCAAGAACACCAGUGGCGAAGGCGGCUCACUGGCCCGGUACUGACGCUGAGGUGCGAAAGCGUGGGGAGCAAACAGG
RNAcentral lists this ribosomal RNA (253 nucleotides) under uncultured bacterium. Its description in RNAcentral is "partial 16S ribosomal RNA". It matches the Rfam family "Bacterial small subunit ribosomal RNA", at positions 524 to 776 of the family's 1533-position model. The record is from RNAcentral.